UACGGAGGGGGCUAGCGUUGUUCGGAAUUACUGGGCGUAGAGCGCACGUAGGCGGCUUUGUAAGUUAGAGGUGAAAGCCCAGGGCUCAACCCUGGAAUUGCCUUUAAGACUGCAUCGCUUGAAUCAUGGAGAGGUGAGUGGAAUUCCGAGUGUAGAGGUGAAAUUCGUAGAUAUUCGGAAGAACACCAGUGGCGAAGGCGACUCACUGGACAUGUAUUGACGCUGAGGUGCGAAAGCGUGGGGAGCAAACAGG
RNAcentral lists this ribosomal RNA (253 nucleotides) under uncultured bacterium. RNAcentral describes it as "partial 16S ribosomal RNA". It matches the Rfam family "Bacterial small subunit ribosomal RNA", at positions 524 to 776 of the family's 1533-position model. The record is from RNAcentral.